This 1374-nucleotide long non-coding RNA is filed under the name Bos indicus x Bos taurus (hybrid cattle). Its description in RNAcentral is "lncRNA (ENSBIXG00005030933.1)". The record is from RNAcentral. Lineage: Eukaryota; Metazoa; Chordata; Mammalia; Artiodactyla; Bovidae.
AAGUGCAGUGUUCAGACCAAGUUCUGUCAUGUUAUUUGUGCUAGUAUUUGAGUGUUAUAUAAACAUUUUGGACAAUUGUUUCUGAAGUUUCCAUUGUUAUUUUUGGGUUUAUUCAUUUACAAAGGCUAUAGACAAAUCUCUGGCAUAUGUGUACAUAGUUAUCAAUCAACUGUGCAGUAGCAUGCAACUUAAAAAAGUUAUUUAUCUAUCUAUUUAUUGUUGGCUGCCCUGGGUCUUCAUUGCUACAUGCCAGCUUUCUCUAGUUGUGGCAAGCAGGGGCUACCCUUCAUUGUGGUGCAUGGGCUUUGCAGUGCAGUGACUUCUCUGUUGUGAAGCAUGGGCUCUAGGGACACUGGGCUCAGUCACUGUGGCACAUGGGUCUAGCUGCCCCACAGCCUAUGGAAUCUUCCUGGGCCAGGGGUUGAACCCAUGUUUCCUGAAUUGGCAAGUGGAUUCUUAGCCACUAGACCGCCAGGGAAGUCCCCCUUAUUACUUUUGUAAAGAAUUCGCUUCUAUUUGACCCAAUCAGAUGGAAUAUAUUUUAUUACAUAUAGUUCUCUUCUCUGGCCCUUGCCAGAGAUCAGGGUUUCUCUCACAAAAGGGAACAGUUGUCUAUGCCUUUGUUUUUCACAGUGCAGUCCAUACCACAAGCAAUGACAUCACCAGUCUAUACCACAAGCAAUGACACCACAGCAGAAUAUCAGGCUCCACUUUAGACCUACUGAAUUGGAAUUGACAUUUUAACAAGAUUCCCCAGGUCCAAAGUGUCCAUAGGCUUUGGAGAAGCAAACAAUGAUGGUGAAAGACAUUCUGGAAGGAAGGAUCAGAAGCAGCAAGGCUUGUAGUAAUUAUAGGCCCUUGGUCAUUGAUCUGGAUAUGAUAUGGUUUCAGGUAUGAUGAAAAUGAAAGAGAGUGAAAAAGUUGGCUUAAAGAUCAACAUUCAGAAAACUAAGAUCAUGGCAUCUGGUCCCAUCACUUCAUGGCAAAUAGAUGGGGAAACAGUAGAAACAGUGGCUGACUAUUUUUGGGGUGCUCCAAAAUCACUGCAGAUGGUGACUGCAGCCAUGAAAUGAAAAGGCGCUUACUCCUUGGAAGAAAAGUUAUGACCAACCUAGACAGCAUAUUAAAAAGCAGAGACAUUAUUUUGUCAACAAAUGUCUGUCUAGUCAAGGCUAUGGUUUUUCCAAUAAUCAUGUAUGGAUGUGAGAGUUGGACUAUAAAGAAAGCUGAGCACUGAAGAAUUGAUGCUUUUGAACUGUGGUGUUGGAGAAGACUCUUGAGAAUCACUUGGACGGCAAGGAGAUCCAACGAGUCCAUCCUAAAGGAAAUCAGUCCUGAAUAUUCAUUGGAAGGACUGAUGCUGAAGCUGAAACU